Molecule: long non-coding RNA, 2206 nt
Filed under: Homo sapiens (human)
Lineage: Eukaryota; Metazoa; Chordata; Mammalia; Primates; Hominidae
Description: novel transcript
Source: RNAcentral
GGGACUCACCGUUGUCCAGGCGCGCGAUCUGGGGCAGCCGGUUAAACAACUUCUUAUUCCACAACUAUCUAGAAGUAAAAAUUACUAUAAAUUGAAUGAUGAAAACUUCAGGUCAUUCCUUUCAAAGUCCUUUCCAGUGCUGCAUGGAGAAAAAACGCAAUCUACAACCACAACAAUAAAUGAGGGAACAGAAAUGAACUGAAAUCAAGAAACAGAAGGGCCAAGGAAAGAAGUCCAUUUGAAUGUAUCAACAUGCAGGUUUAUUAAUUAUUCCCUGAAUAAUCAACAACUAAACCAUUCUGCAUUGCUUGGCUAUUGAAUAUGAUCAAACCUAUAUUUAUCAUUUGGAACUGAAGUUCAAUGUCUUAUACAAGCUUUGUUUGCUCAUGACUAUUCCGUCACCAUUUAUAGAAAGUAUAGUUUUUCAAAAGUGUGAAGAAUCCACCAGCUUUCUGAUCUUUGUGACUCCUCUUAAAGAAAUAAAUAACAACCAGACACAGGACCCCUCCUAUCUGGAUGGGAUCAAGUUAAAUGUCAUCCGUGGGUCAGAGGAGACAACCUAGGAAACCACCACCCAACAGUUUCCUUUAUUUUCCAUGACUGAACACUAGAAAAUUCCCAAAUCCUUCCACUACAAAGAGAAAAGAGUUGUAAAUCAACAGAACGGAAGAGAAACAAAAAGGCAUUUCCUCUAUCUUUAACAAAGGGAACUUAGAGUUAUCAAGAGAAGGAACACGACUUUCUACUUAGCUCCAUAAUUUUCAUUCUAAUGUUAUUAAAAAGAAGUCAUCAUUGGUACAUGGAAGGAUAAAUCUAUAUUUUAAAGUCCCUCUUUUCUGUUGUUGGUCACAAAAGGCAACAAAGAAGCAUCUAAUAAAUAGAAUCUCUUAUUUGAAACAUUGGAAAAAGGAUGCCAGCUCCUGGAAAAUACCUUGCCCAUCAGUAAAGAAAUCGGUCCACAGGGAAUAAAAAUGGAAUGGAGAGCUCUCCAAUGCUGCCCUAUGGGGAGAAAUAAAAGGGGUCUCCACAUGUGGACUUCAUAAAAACUUUGAUAUAAAAGAAAUCUAUUAUCAAAAGUACACGGUAACCCCAGCAAGUGUUCUGUUUAAUCUUUGCACAGAGGAUUUAGGGCCUGCAAAGUGCAAGAGGCAUGAUGCAUUGGCCAUUUUAGUAUUCAUGUCUCCUGUACUGCUUUCUAAUAAGUUAAGAUGAAACGGGAGACUGCGUGCAGGAGUGAGAGAUGCAAGAAAAGCAGUACUGAGAAAUAAAGAUGAACAAAAGUGCAUCUUGACUUCCCUUUUAUUAUUAACAGGCGAGAGAACAACAAUGCCAAACUUAUAAUGUUAUUACUUAACACUUCACAUUUACAAAAAGACGUUGCAGUCAUUUUUACAUGUUAUUUCUCAAUAUUUUUCUGAUAGAGGCUUUUCUUAUAAUCAGUUUUUAUGAUGAUAUAUGAAAUGAUUUUUCCAAAAAGGAAGAUAAACAUGCAGUCUGUGCCAGCAUGUUACCAAAACAAUCUUUUUGGUGAGAAUAAUUGUUUCCUUUACUGUUUGGGUAGGACAAACAACUGGUUGGCCGACUAUUUGAAUGUUGUUUUCUUCGUGUUAUAUAGACCCACUUUUUCACUCCUACUCCCCUCCACUCCAUUCAACUCACUAUUACUUAAGUGUACCCCUUACAUCGUAUUUCUGAAAUAUAAAUAACAUAAUAGGAUAAGAUCUAAAGAAAACUAGCCUUCCUCUUAAUUCUUCUGUGAUAUAAGGUGUGUAAAUGGAGUGGCACCCAUGAGUGAGUAUCUGUGCACCUGCCUGUAGGCUGGCCUCUUUCUAAGAGGAGCAUGUCUGUGAGGCACACUGAGAAAUGUUUGCUCAACAUAAGUGGGCAAAGUAUGCUGAGAUUCAGAAACUCCAUCUACCUCAUGUUUUAGGUGUCUGCUAGUUAGUUUGCAUGGAGAAAGUCAUUCAAUAAAUAAGUAGACCCCAAACCAGGGGACUGUCUCCUACCUUUAACUGUCAUCCUCACCUCCAUGACAAACUAGUUUGGUAUUUCUUCUGGGGCAAAAGAAUGGCAGUGGAAAGUUCUCCAAUCCCUUAGGCUUUAUUAGAUUUGGGAAGAAUCUGGGAUUCUGAUGAGAAAGAUUUCUUCAUUUAUUAUUAGAUGGCCCAAAGCAUAGCAAUCUGUCAGUUGCCUCUUUCUGUUUUGC